CGGACGGGUGAGUAACACGUGGAUAACCUACCUAUAAGACUGGGAUAACUUCGGGAAACCGGAGCUAAUACCGGAUAAUAUAUUGAACCGCAUGGUUCAAUAGUGAAAGACGGUUUUGCUGUCACUUAUAGAUGGAUCCGCGCCGCAUUAGCUAGUUGGUAAGGUAACGGCUUACCAAGGCAACGAUGCGUAGCCGACCUGAGAGGGUGAUCGGCCACACUGAACUGAGACACGGUCCAGACUCCUACGGGAGGCAGCAGCC
Molecule: ribosomal RNA, 262 nt
Filed under: uncultured Staphylococcus sp.
Lineage: Bacteria; Bacillati; Bacillota; Bacilli; Caryophanales; Staphylococcaceae
Description: partial 16S ribosomal RNA
Rfam family: Bacterial small subunit ribosomal RNA
Source: RNAcentral